RNAcentral lists this ribosomal RNA (1342 nucleotides) under Staphylococcus aureus. Its description in RNAcentral is "partial 23S ribosomal RNA". It matches the Rfam family "Bacterial large subunit ribosomal RNA", at positions 1582 to 2925 of the family's 2925-position model. Lineage: Bacteria; Bacillati; Bacillota; Bacilli; Caryophanales; Staphylococcaceae. The record is from RNAcentral.
GUCUUCGAGUCGUUGAUUUCACACUGCCGAGAAAAGCCUCUAGAUAGAAAAUAGGUGCCCGUACCGCAAACCGACACAGGUAGUCAAGAUGAGAAUUCUAAGGUGAGCGAGCGAACUCUCGUUAAGGAACUCGGCAAAAUGACCCCGUAACUUCGGGAGAAGGGGUGCUCUUUAGGGUUAACGCCCAGAAGAGCCGCAGUGAAUAGGCCCAAGCGACUGUUUAUCAAAAACACAGGUCUCUGCUAAACCGUAAGGUGAUGUAUAGGGGCUGACGCCUGCCCGGUGCUGGAAGGUUAAGAGGAGUGGUUAGCUUCUGCGAAGCUACGAAUCGAAGCCCCAGUAAACGGCGGCCGUAACUAUAACGGUCCUAAGGUAGCGAAAUUCCUUGUCGGGUAAGUUCCGACCCGCACGAAAGGCGUAACGAUUUGGGCACUGUCUCAACGAGAGACUCGGUGAAAUCAUAGUACCUGUGAAGAUGCAGGUUACCCGCGACAGGACGGAAAGACCCCGUGGAGCUUUACUGUAGCCUGAUAUUGAAAUUCGGCACAGCUUGUACAGGAUAGGUAGGAGCCUUUGAAACGUGAGCGCUAGCUUACGUGGAGGCGCUGGUGGGAUACUACCCUAGCUGUGUUGGCUUUCUAACCCGCACCACUUAUCGUGGUGGGAGACAGUGUCACGCGGGCAGUUUGACUGGGGCGGUCGCCUCCUAAAAGGUAACGGAGGCGCUCAAAGGUUCCCUCAGAAUGGUUGGAAAUCAUUCAUAGAGUGUAAAGGCAUAAGGGAGCUUGACUGCGAGACCUACAAGUCGAGCAGGGUCGAAAGACGGACUUAGUGAUCCGGUGGUUCCGCAUGGAAGGGCCAUCGCUCAACGGAUAAAAGCUACCCCGGGGAUAACAGGCUUAUCUCCCCCAAGAGUUCACAUCGACGGGGAGGUUUGGCACCUCGAUGUCGGCUCAUCGCAUCCUGGGGCUGUAGUCGGUCCCAAGGGUUGGGCUGUUCGCCCAUUAAAGCGGUACGCGAGCUGGGUUCAGAACGUCGUGAGACAGUUCGGUCCCUAUCCGUCGUGGGCGUAGGAAAUUUGAGAGGAGCUGUCCUUAGUACGAGAGGACCGGGAUGGACAUACCUCUGGUGUACCAGUUGUCGUGCCAACGGCAUAGCUGGGUAGCUAUGUGUGGACGGGAUAAGUGCUGAAAGCAUCUAAGCAUGAAGCCCCCCUCAAGAUGAGAUUUCCCAACUUCGGUUAUAAGAUCCCUCAAAGAUGAUGAGGUUAAUAGGUUCGAGGUGGAAGCAUGGUGACAUGUGGAGCUGACGAAUACUAAUCGAUCGAAGACUUAAUCAAAUU